GAUGAAGAACGUAGCGAAAUGCGAUACUUGGUGUGAAUUGCAGAAUCCCGUGAACCAUCGAGUCUUUGAACGCAAGUUGCGCCCGAAGCCAUUAGGCCGAGGGCACGCCUGCCUGGGCGUCACACGUCGUUGCCCCCCCAUCUACUCCUUCGGGAUUGCGGGGGGCGGAUGAUGGCCUCCCGUGCGCCUCGUCGCGCGGUUGGCAUAAAUGCCAAGUCCUCGGCGACACACGCCACGACAAUCGGUGGUUGCGAAACCUCGGUUGCCCGUCGUGUGCGGUCGUCGCGCAUCGAGGGCUCGAAAAAAUUGCCGGGCUCCGGCUCGGCUUUCAACGCGACCCCAGGUCAGGCGGGGUUACCCGCUGAAUUUAAGCAUAUCAAUAAGCGGAGGA
RNAcentral lists this unclassified non-coding RNA (391 nucleotides) under soil metagenome. Its description in RNAcentral is "partial contains 5.8S ribosomal RNA, internal transcribed spacer 2, and large subunit ribosomal RNA". The stretch from base 1 to 122 matches the Rfam family "5.8S ribosomal RNA", at positions 35 to 154 of the family's 154-position model. The record is from RNAcentral.